AUCAUUUCAAUAUGAUAAAUGACAUAAUCUUUCAAAAAAUUUCAAGAGGGAUAGGAUCAGGAGUCAUCAACUAUUUCAACCGACUUGUUAAAGAAGACUCCCAUUUUAGGACAUCCAAUAAUCCAACAAGUAAUCCCUUUUUGGAUGGAGAACGUAUAAAACCAAGGCUCAGUUGGAAACCAAAAGAGAACUCAAUAAUGAUUCUUUAAGUCAACAUCACAAAACUAAUUAUCAUAAUGAGCAUAGAAAAAGCACCCUGUAAACCCUUCAUACAUAAUGCCUCUGGGCUCUGGUCAAUAAUUAAUUGCAGAUUGUUGAAGGAUUUUACACAGAACAUAUAGCCUUCCAGUAAGUGCAAAAAAUAUGAAAAGCGUAACAAUUAAGAUCAAGAUCAGAGUUACUGCCCAGGUUAUGUAGUUAUAGAUACCCUAAAUGGGACCCGGUCCAAUUUCUAGUGAAGCUAUCAUCAUUCCUAAUCCAAUGUCAAAUGGCAGGAGCAAAAAAAUGAAGAAAUACAAGAUGGCAAUUUGUUAAUCUCUGAAAUUACCUUGAGAUAAGUUAAUAUAAAUUGGAAGCUUUGUUUCCCUUUCCAUGUUUACACAAUAUCACCCCACAAGGCCAACAUAAUGAUCAACGAAGUAGACAAUAACAAAGGGAAAUUUAGAAAGCUUAUAGUGGCACAAAUAAUGUAGGAUAGACAAUCCAGGAUUAAUUAUCUAGACCUUGUUUUGAACACAUAAAUAGCUUAUGGUACAAAAUGGUUGAACAAUUUACGCUGAGAACUUCAUAAGAUAAAAUACUUCAAUGCAGGCAAGAAGGAUCCUCAAAG
RNAcentral lists this long non-coding RNA (829 nucleotides) under Olea europaea subsp. europaea. Lineage: Eukaryota; Viridiplantae; Streptophyta; Magnoliopsida; Lamiales; Oleaceae. The record is from RNAcentral.